CCUACGGGAGGCUGCAGUGGGGGAUAUUGCACAAUGGGGGGAACCCUGAUGCAGCGACGCCGCGUGGGUGAAGAAGCGCCUCGGCGCGUAAAGCCCUGUCAGCAGGGGAGAAAAUGACGGUACCUGAAGAAGAAGCCCCGGGUAACUACGGGCCGGCAGCCGCGGUAAUACGUAGGGGGCCGGCGUUAUCCGGAUUUACUGGGUGUAAAGGGGGCGCAGAGGGGGAUGCAAGCCAGGAGUGAAAGCCCGGGGCCCAACCCCUGUACUGGUCUUGGAACUGCGUGGCUGGAGUGCAGGAGGGGCAGGCGGAAUUCCUGGUGUCGCGGUGAAAUGCGUAGAUAUCAGGAGGAACACCGGUGGCGAAGGCGGUCUGCUGGACUGCAACUGACGUUGAGGCCCGAAAGUGUGGGGAGCAAACAGGAUUAGAUACCCUAGUAGUC
This 440-nucleotide ribosomal RNA is filed under the name uncultured bacterium. RNAcentral's name for it is "partial 16S ribosomal RNA". It matches the Rfam family "Bacterial small subunit ribosomal RNA", at positions 338 to 795 of the family's 1533-position model. The record is from RNAcentral.